AAGUGGAUUCAAUGAGGAUGAGGAAGCACCGCUCUCAUAUGCGAACAGAGUCAGUGCCGUGGUAACCAACAGCCUGCCAAUCUCUGAAGGCCACUACAGUCAAGAUUCAGAUCCAUCUUAUGACGGAGCUCACAAGGGAAUGGACCACUAUCUGGACAGCCUGUUUGACCCUGUACUGUCGGACAGAACUGGGGAUAUGGAUGCAUCUCUUCUGUCUGGUAGAAUGAAAGGGGGAGGCGGUGUGGGUGGUAACCAUGACAGCAGAGUUCCAGCCGCAGCCAGUGUGCCUUACUCAGCAGCUCUGCAACCAGGAGGUAAAACACACACACAUA
Molecule: long non-coding RNA, 332 nt
Organism: Pygocentrus nattereri (red-bellied piranha)
Lineage: Eukaryota; Metazoa; Chordata; Actinopteri; Characiformes; Serrasalmidae
Source: Ensembl